GAGGAUGUAGUUCAGUGGCAUGAGCACCUGCCUGGCAAGCAAGAGGUUGUGAGUUCGAUCCCUGGCAUCCUCC
RNAcentral lists this transfer RNA (73 nucleotides) under Cavia porcellus (domestic guinea pig). It matches the Rfam family "tRNA". From Rfam's summary of the family: Transfer RNA (tRNA) molecules are approximately 80 nucleotides in length. Their secondary structure includes four short double-helical elements and three loops (D, anti-codon, and T loops). The record is from Rfam by way of RNAcentral. Lineage: Eukaryota; Metazoa; Chordata; Mammalia; Rodentia; Caviidae.